Molecule: long non-coding RNA, 417 nt
Filed under: Brassica napus (rape)
Lineage: Eukaryota; Viridiplantae; Streptophyta; Magnoliopsida; Brassicales; Brassicaceae
Description: long non-coding RNA (BNAP_LNC002623)
Source: RNAcentral
AUUUUAUUUACAAUGAGAGUGUUUCAUCUUUGCACGUAACUCUCAAGUCUGUGAUGUUCCAGCGGUGUAUAUGUAUACGUGCAUAUAUCAUGUAUUUGUAUAAGCCUACGUAUUUAUAUAGUGCCCUAGCGAGUAAGUAUAGCUUCCAAGCUGUUGUUUUAAUUGUCAACCUCGAGCUUGAUUACAAACUUUUUUUUUCUUUUUGUUAUCAGUCCUGUAAUCUGUUUAAUAUAUAGAUCAAUCAUUAUAUAUUUGUUUAUGAGGGUAUGAAUGCCUCUCCAGCUCUCCUUCCCCGUAACUAAUAAUUCCCCAAGAUUUGUAGUACUAUCGUGUCAUAAUAGCGUUCUAAAAUAAAUAAUUCGUGUAUAAUUCAUCUGUGUGACAUAGAUAAUACCAAAAGAAAAGUUAACACCUCGC